AUUGAACGCUAGCGGGAUGCUUUACACAUGCAAGUCGAACGGCAGCGCGGACUUCGGUUUGGCUGCCAGUGGCGAACGGGCGAGUAAUUUAUCGGAACGUCCCCAUUUGCUUGUUCUAACUACGCGAAAGCGUAGCUAUUACCGCAUUAGCCCUUCGGGCGAACGCAGGGAAUCAUAAGACCUUGCACUCUUGCACCGUCCGAUAUCGGAUUAGCUAGUUGGUGAGGUAACGGCUUACCAAGGCGACGAUCCGUAGCUGGUUUGAGAGGACGACCAGCCACACUGGAACUGAGACACGGCCCAGACUCCUACGGGAGGCAGCAGUGGGGAAUUUUGGACAAUGGGCGCAAGCCUGAUCCAGCCAUACCGCGUGGGCGAAGAAGGCCUUCGGGUUGUAAAGCACUUUUGGCAGGAAAGAAACGUCGCAGGCUAAUACCCCGUGGAACUGACGGUACCUGAAGAAUAAGCACCGGCUAACUACGUG
RNAcentral lists this ribosomal RNA (484 nucleotides) under uncultured bacterium. Its description in RNAcentral is "partial 16S ribosomal RNA". It matches the Rfam family "Bacterial small subunit ribosomal RNA", at positions 30 to 507 of the family's 1533-position model. The record is from RNAcentral.